Bolinopsis microptera is the source of this 1840-nucleotide long non-coding RNA. RefSeq lists it as uncharacterized. The record is from RefSeq and is a predicted model, not a curated record. Lineage: Eukaryota; Metazoa; Ctenophora; Tentaculata; Lobata; Bolinopsidae. The transcript is spliced from 4 exons.
UCAUGUGACCAAUGAAGAAGUUCUUAGGAGGGCUGGCAUCAAGUCAGUUGAGACUUUCAUCAGUGCUGCCAGGCUAUGUUGGUAUGAACAUCUAGUUAGAAUGCCAGACUCUAGACUACCGAGGUUUCUGUUGAACUGGAAGCCAAAUCAUGGAAAGAGGUCAAAGGGCAGACCCCGAAAGAAUUGGAAGACCUGCGUACUCGAAGAUGCUGCUAAGUUUACAGGUGUUGAAAACAUCGACAACAACACAACAGAAGCUUUGGCUACCAACCGAGUACAGCGGAGACAUAUGUUACGCCGCCAACGCGAUGUAUGUGAUGCAGGCCACUCCAACGACUAGGAGGAGACCUUACCAUGUAAUGUAUGUAUGGAUUGAAGAUCAACACCGAAAAAACACAGUAUAUGGUUGUCAGUAAAUGUGGGUCCCAGUGACCCUACACCGAAAGAGACACUAUUGAGCUUACAGUGGAGGGAAAUCUGUCUAUCUGGGUGCCAACAUUAGUGGGAACGGUACUAUCAUCAUAAUCCCUGAGAAGAAUCUUAUGAUAAAUUGGUUUUAUGGCGUACUGGCUUAAUGUCUAUUGACACUUCAUCAGUUCUGCUAGACUACGGUGGUAUGGACACGCUGUAAGAAUGCCAGAGACUAGGUUACCAAAUUUUUUACUGGAGUGAAACCUAACUAUGUAAAGCGAUCGAGAGGGAGACCCCAAAAAGCCUGGAUGGCCUGUGUACUCGAGGAUGCUGCUAACUUAACAGUUGUUUAAAACAUCAGUCGAGAUGCAGUACGACAGUUAGCACUGUUAAGCCGUACAAGGGACGUGUGUGAUGCAGGCCACUCCAACGACUAGGAGGAGACCUCUUCAGUCUUCAUGUAGCAUGAAUGUGUAUGAUUUACAUUGCAUUACAGCUGUACUGAAUUAAAGGGAACCCUUUUUGGGCUUUCUUUAGCUAAACUUGAUUUAAAUAAUAUUGAAUUGACUGACUAGUUUGUAAUGCCUAAUGUUAGCAAUUGUAACCUAUUAUAGUAAUUGUGAUCAAACAAUGUAACUUUUCAUCAAAACCUUUUUUAUUCUAGGGAAUGUUCUGAAUUCCAAGUACUUAUUACAACAACAAUCUUGAUAGUUGAUGAUUUCGUAUUUUGUGGAGAUCGGAGAAUCUAUCUGCUCGACAUGUCUCUCUGUAUUAGAAGAGUUUGUAUGCCGAGAAGAGUUAGAAGGGAGAUGAAGAGUAAAACAAGGCAAACAUGUAUUGGACAGCAUUUAUAGCUUGACAAAGGGAUCAGGAGCUAUGGAGCUAUAAUAUGAAACACAUGCUUUUAAACAUCAUGGAGAAGGCAAGAAUGUUCAAAGCAGAAAAAAGGGGAAUAUCCUGAAGACAUAAAGUCAAGCUUCAAUUCUGGUUAAAAGAUGAAAUCGACUGAGGAAAAAAAGAAGAGAAGAAGCCGGAAGUAAGUAACUAUAGAAAGUUGGUGGUUUCAAUUUAGUAAGCCGGCUUCACUUAAUCUCCAGUUUGGGCUGUGGAAAGAAAUCAAGACAUGUUAACCACAUUCCUGACUGCCACAAACAAUUUGACUAUCGAGGUUAUGAUCUGGAAACACAUGAUUGAAGGAAACUGGACGAACGUUCCAUCAUAUGGCUACCGUACUCUUUACUAUAGUGUGGCAAAUCCAGAGAACGAUGUCAUGUUUACAAGUCUUGUCGUCCAGCGUGUAAAAGAAUCAGAUGUAACACAGCACCGUGCAGUGAUAGUCAUUGAUGAUAAGCAGCAAACUUCCGACAUGAUACCAGUGACAUUAUCUCCAACUGAUAUUUUUAAAUUAUUCAGUUUAACUGUGAUAAAA